UUUUUUUUUUUUUUUUUUUUUUUUUUGCACAAGUGCCAACUCAAUAAAAACGAAAUUUGUACAGGCCACAAAAAAAUUGUCAAAGAAAUGAAGAGAUUUUCUACAGGCCCUACCACCAGUUAGUCCAGAACAGGAGCUAGAAUCAAUCCAUUUCAUUUAAGGUAACCUUUUCUGAUGAGAGCUGAGGAGAGGAAAAUGAAUGAUCUCAGUCCUCCAUCCUCCACAGUUAGCUUCCUUAUGGCUACAGAAUCUUCGUUCUCCUUGGUUGGAUCAUGCUCCUGGGAAAGACACCAUGGCCACCUGUUUCUUAGAAUGACCAGCUGGACCCGGGCCUGUUGGAGAGAGCUGUGCAACUCUCCUGUGAUUUCUGAUGCCAGGGGUCAUGCUGGGUCACAGUGCAGCCCUGUCCUGUGGGAUCCUUCACUCCUGAGACUGCACCUCUGACUGCCACCCUGAAGACCAGCAAUUCUUCAAGGUAACUCUUCUGGUUGCCCUGGAAAUUGUCUCCUCUAUUCCUUUUCUUUGCAGUACUUGAAGAGCAUUGGUUUGACGCAUAAAACUAGAGGGCCACUUGCCCAGGUUGCUGGAUGCUUCUGAGUUAACUGAAGUUUUUAAACCCAAACACACAAAAUCUCAUCGUAAAAUCCAACACAGAGGUCAACAAUCCUUACUGUUUCGACCCUUGCUGUCACGAUAGUAGGGUAAUAUGAUGCAGGCCACAGGAAAAAGCUUUGCAGCAUUACUACUCACCUGUCUAAUGGGGAAGCAUCCCGUUGGCAACCUCUUUCAUCAAAAUAUUUGAAUUUGUCCUCCCAAAAUGAGGACCCCUAGCAAUCUUUAAUGGCCUGGAGGAAUUUGAUUUAUUUGCAGGAUAAAACCAAGUUAAAAUUUUUUUCAAAAGAAAAAAAGAAUAUCAGACAUCCAAGUCCCUGAAGACCAACAGAAACACUAAAGUCUAAGAAAGGAGAUCCACAGAAAGAACUCUUGGGUAUGAAGAAAACAGUGACCACAGAGAAAAGAUCAACCCAGCCCCACAGCUUCAAAAAGGAGGGCAAACCAAGGGGAAUUCUGAGGGUGACAGGUGUAACAGAUGGAGAAACUUCAUCAUAAAAGUGAUUGAAUGUGAGGAUAUCAAGGGCAGGGAAGGCAGAGAAACUUAAUCAAAAGAAAUGACACUUUUCUGCACGGAGAAAGCACACAAUUUUUUGGAGCGGCCCAAACUUCAUGAGGAAAGGGUUAUUACUAUUGUUUGUUCUUUCCUAUCGCAGCAGCCUAGCUGGAAAGCGAUAGUCAGCUAGAAAAAACACAAUGCAGCCUUCUGUUCUAGGGGAAGUGGAAACAAAAAAAGAGGUCCAAGGUUGCCUCCUUCUUACCCACUCUGGAGGCACAUUUUUAUACCAUUGUUGGACUUUGCGGUUUUCUUCUGGUUGCCAUGGCAUCAGAGAGACAAAUGCCUGGCUUCCACUUUAAAGCUGAAUUCUCUUACAAACAAAAUUGUUUCCAUUUGAGUAUAUUCUCACCCUCACGCUCCACCAGACAUGCUUUCAAAAGAACAUGUCUUUUUUAAAAUAUAGAUGAAAUUCAUUGCAUUCUUCUAUUUACCAAAAAAAAUUUAUUUUAAAAAAUUAGAAAAUGCAGAAAAAUAUUGUUUUAUAUAUUUUAUUUAUUUAUCCAUGAGAGAUACAGAGAGAGAGGCAGAGACACAGGCAGAGGGAGAAGCAGGCUCCAUGCAGGAAGCCUAAUGCGGGACCUGAUCCCAGGACCCCGGGGUCAUGACUGAGCCAAAGGCAGCUGCUCACUGAGCCACCCAAACAUUCUAAAAAUAUUUUUUUUAAUAAAAUGGAAUUGCCCUAUAAGCUCUUCACCUUCACAUGACAAACAAUUCACCUUUUGGCAUAUUUAUU
This 1904-nucleotide long non-coding RNA is filed under the name Canis lupus familiaris (dog). RNAcentral describes it as "lncRNA (ENSCAFG00845013900.1)". Lineage: Eukaryota; Metazoa; Chordata; Mammalia; Carnivora; Canidae. The record is from RNAcentral.